AAAUUGAAGAGUUUGAUCAUGGCUCAGAUUGAACGCUGGCGGCAGGCCUAACACAUGCAAGUCGAGCGGUAGCACAGAGAGCUUGCUCUCGGGUGACGAGCGGCGGACGGGUGAGUAAUGUCUGGGAAACUGCCUGAUGGAGGGGGAUAACUACUGGAAACGGUAGCUAAUACCGCAUAACGUCGCAAGACCAAAGUGGGGGACCUUCGGGCCUCAUGCCAUCAGAUGUGCCCAGAUGGGAUUAGCUAGUAGGUGGGGUAACGGCUCACCUAGGCGACGAUCCCUAGCUGGUCUGAGAGGAUGACCAGCCACACUGGAACUGAGACACGGUCCAGACUCCUACGGGAGGCAGCAGUGGGGAAUAUUGCACAAUGGGCGCAAGCCUGAUGCAGCCAUGCCGCGUGUGUGAAGAAGGCCUUCGGGUUGUAAAGCACUUUCAGCGGGGAGGAAGGCGGUGAGGUUAAUAACCUCAUCGAUUGACGUUACCCGCAGAAGAAGCACCGGCUAACUCCGUGCUAGGUUAAUAACCUUGUCGAUUGACGUUACCCGCAGAAGAAGCACCGGCUAACUCCGUGCCAGCAGCCGCGGUAAUACGGAGGGUGCAAGCGUUAAUCGGAAUUACUGGGCGUAAAGCGCACGCAGGCGGUCUGUCAAGUCGGAUGUGAAAUCCCCGGGCUCAACCUGGGAACUGCAUUCGAAACUGGCAGGCUAGAGUCUUGUAGAGGGGGGUAGAAUUCCAGGUGUAGCGGUGAAAUGCGUAGAGAUCUGGAGGAAUACCGGUGGCGAAGGCGGCCCCCUGGACAAAGACUGACGCUCAGGUGCGAAAGCGUGGGGAGCAAACAGGAUUAGAUACCCUGGUAGUCCACGCCGUAAACGAUGUCGAUUUGGAGGUUGUGCCCUUGAGGCGUGGCUUCCGGAGCUAACGCGUUAAAUCGACCGCCUGGGGAGUACGGCCGCAAGGUUAAAACUCAAAUGAAUUGACGGGGGCCCGCACAAGCGGUGGAGCAUGUGGUUUAAUUCGAUGCAACGCGAAGAACCUUACCUGGUCUUGACAUCCACAGAACUUUCCAGAGAUGGAUUGGUGCCUUCGGGAACUGUGAGACAGGUGCUGCAUGGCUGUCGUCAGCUCGUGUUGUGAAAUGUUGGGUUAAGUCCCGCAACGAGCGCAACCCUUAUCCUUUGUUGCCAGCGGUCCGGCCGGGAACUCAAAGGAGACUGCCAGUGAUAAACUGGAGGAAGGUGGGGAUGACGUCAAGUCAUCAUGGCCCUUACGACCAGGGCUACACACGUGCUACAAUGGCAUAUACAAAGAGAAGCGACCUCGCGAGAGCAAGCGGACCUCAUAAAGUAUGUCGUAGUCCGGAUUGGAGUCUGCAACUCGACUCCAUGAAGUCGGAAUCGCUAGUAAUCGUAGAUCAGAAUGCUACGGUGAAUACGUUCCCGGGCCUUGUACACACCGCCCGUCACACCAUGGGAGUGGGUUGCAAAAGAAGUAGGUAGCUUAACCUUCGGGAGGGCGCUUACCACUUUGUGAUUCAUGACUGGGGUGAAGUCGUAACAAGGUAACCGUAGGGGAACCUGCGGUUGGAUCACCUCCUUACCUUAAAGAA
This 1610-nucleotide ribosomal RNA is filed under the name Klebsiella pneumoniae. Its description in RNAcentral is "bacterial SSU rRNA". It matches the Rfam family "Bacterial small subunit ribosomal RNA". The record is from RNAcentral. Lineage: Bacteria; Pseudomonadati; Pseudomonadota; Gammaproteobacteria; Enterobacterales; Enterobacteriaceae.